RNAcentral lists this ribosomal RNA (351 nucleotides) under uncultured bacterium. RNAcentral describes it as "bacterial SSU rRNA". It matches the Rfam family "Bacterial small subunit ribosomal RNA", at positions 976 to 1326 of the family's 1533-position model. The record is from RNAcentral.
AGGUCUUGACAUCCUCUGACAACCCUAGAGAUAGGGCUUUCCCCUUCGGGGGACAGAGUGACAGGUGGUGCAUGGUUGUCGUCAGCUCGUGUCGUGAGAUGUUGGGUUAAGUCCCGCAACGAGCGCAACCCUUGAUCUUAGUUGCCAGCAUUCAGUUGGGCACUCUAAGGUGACUGCCGGUGACAAACCGGAGGAAGGUGGGGAUGACGUCAAAUCAUCAUGCCCCUUAUGACCUGGGCUACACACGUGCUACAAUGGAUGGUACAAAGGGCUGCAAACCUGCGAAGGUAAGCGAAUCCCAUAAAGCCAUUCUCAGUUCGGAUUGCAGGCUGCAACUCGCCUGCAUGAAGC